RNAcentral lists this ribosomal RNA (468 nucleotides) under uncultured bacterium. RNAcentral's name for it is "partial 16S ribosomal RNA". It matches the Rfam family "Bacterial small subunit ribosomal RNA", at positions 28 to 506 of the family's 1533-position model. The record is from RNAcentral.
GACGAACGCUGGCGGCGUGCUUAACACAUGCAAGUCGAACGGAAAGGCCCUGCUUUUGUGGGGUGCUCGAGUGGCGAACGGGUGAGUAACACGUGAGUAACCUGCCCUUGACUUUGGGAUAACUUCAGGAAACUGGGGCUAAUACCGGAUAGGAGCUCCUGCUGCAUGGUGGGGGUUGGAAAGUUUCGGCGGUUGGGGAUGGACUCGCGGCUUAUCAGCUUGUUGGUGGGGUAGUGGCUUACCAAGGCUUUGACGGGUAGCCGGCCUGAGAGGGUGACCGGCCACAAUGGGGAUGAGAUUCGGGCCCGACUUCUUAGGGAGGCAAGAGGGGGGAAUAAUGGAACAAGGGGGGGAGGCUUAAGGCGGAAAGGCGGGGGCGGGGAGGACGGCCUUCGGGUGGAAACCCGCUUUCGCCUUGAAGGAGGGGUAGGGGAGGGUAAGGGUAAAGGAAGAACGGCCUAACAAGGU